Molecule: long non-coding RNA, 2412 nt
Organism: Balaenoptera musculus (blue whale)
Lineage: Eukaryota; Metazoa; Chordata; Mammalia; Artiodactyla; Balaenopteridae
Exons: 3
Source: RefSeq, a predicted model, not a curated record
CGGCGCGGCAAGCACCACGUUCCUUGGGAUGUUAAGAUCCUCAGUCCUGGAACCAAAGACCUGCGCAGUGUGCUUAGAGCUGUACAAACAAGCAUCCUGGUGUGUGCAAAGGUGUAUGUGCAGGUGUGCAUGUGAGAGACAGAGAGAGAGACAGUGAGAGCCCUUGCCUUUCAGGAGUCACUUGGACGUAGCUGCCCGUGAGACAUUGGCGUAGCAGGUUAGCAUCUGAGUGGCAUUUCCACUGCCCCACCGUCAAGUUCCUUCACUGAUCUUAUCGCCCACACUCAGGCUCCAGCUAUGAGGAGACCGAGGGUCUAGCAUCUACUGAACUUCAAGAGCACAAGUGCCAGGGUGCAGGUGCGACCGCGGGCUGGCCUGGCCCACGCCACAGGGCCCAGGGGAGCCUGGUGCUAAACGAUCAGCCAGCUUUGUUCCGUGGCUGCUGGAUGUACUUCAGCCAAACCAUCUCUCCAGCAACCUACCCCACCGAUGGUAAAUGGGACGUCAAACAUCUCACCUUUCUUGGAACAAAAAGUUGCUGCAAACACUGUCUUUUGUUUAAUGCCAUUGGCCUCCUCAAAGGCCCACGUGGUGUUACUCUUGUUACUCGUGCACAGGCUUCCAGAUCGUUCUCCUCCAGGAAGUUCCAACGCCACAGACUCCACCUGACACCUCUGCUGUGUGGCCCCUCUGAUUAAAGCUCAGUAAAGAUUUCUAUAUGAAUGAUAGUCAGAUAACCCCUUCUCAAAUAAUCAGAGUAUAGUAAAACUCAUAAAGCUGAUCUCACACAUUAAAAUUUUCAUUUUUAAGCUUCUGUAAUGCCUCAGGGCCAUAAUAAUGAAUAUCAAUAAUUUUAUUGCAGCCAUAGAAAAAUGGAUCAUUAAUAGGUUAGAUAAUAACAUAAUAUGUAUAAGAGCGAACAGUCCCAGGAAAUGAGGUAUUACAAAAGUAAAAAAAGAAAUAUUUAAGGAAAAACUUUCACUGGAGUAAAAAGAAAUAUUAAAUGGUUUUCACUGUAGUAAUACAAAGGGAUAAUCAAAGGCAGUGGGUCACAGCUGGUCAAGACCAACUGGAAAGAAAGAAACUGAGAUAAUAAACAUUCAGCAGGUAGCAGACAGUUUCCAGCUGCUGCAUAACAAGUCACCCCAAAGGUAGGGGCUUAAAACAGCACACACUUAUUAGCUCAGAGUCUGUAGGUCAGAAGUCUGGUCUGGCCUGGCUGGGGUCUCUGCUCAACGUAUCACAAGACGGAAAUCAAGUGUCUGCAGGGCCGCGUUCUUAUCUGAGUUCCGUGUCCUUGUCACAGCUCACAGCGCUGUGCCGGAGUUCAGUUUCCUGCAGUUGUGGGACUGCAGCCCCCGUUUCCUUGCUGGCUGCCAACUGGGGGCUGCUCUCAGAUCCCAGGGGCCACCCACCUUCCUUGCCACACCAGGGAGCUGGCCCUCUCCAGCUUCAAAGCCAGCAACAGAGACUUUCCCUCACAUUGGAUUCUUCCUAUGCUUCAAAACUCCUCAGGAAAAGCUGAGUCCCUAGUGAGGGUUCACCUGAUUAGGCCAGGCUCGCCCAGGAUAACCUCCCUUUCUUGAGGCCAACUGAUUUGGCAACUUAAUUAAAUCUGCAAAAUCCCUGUACAGCAGCACCUGGAUUAAUAGGUGAUUGAGUAACUGGGAGAAGAUGUGUGUAACCAGGGGCCGAGGAUCUUGGGAUUCUGCCUGUCGCUCAGACCCAGCUCUGGAUGGCCGCAUGGAGCUUGGAAGCUGCAGUACAAACCCAAGCAGCAGGGAUUGUCCACUUACAUCCCCUGGCAGGGCAAAGGCUAGAAGGAUCCAGGGUAAGAUGAAGAGCAGGUGUGGGAAACUGCACAAGGCUGGAAGCUAUUUCAAUGUUCUCAGGUCCCAUCGGCUGUUGGUUUGAAAGCCCUCAGCCGACCACGGUCCUCGCUUGCAGAAAGGAAAGCAGGGUUCUGGAGAGAGUCACGCUCUCCUGAUUGAAGCAAAACAGACACUCUGAGAUUGUCCAACACAUAUGUCUAGAGACAGAAGAGUGAUAAUAGCUUAAUUCAAAAAUAAAUAUAUAAAAGGACUCAAGACAUGUGGUGUAAAAUAAUGGUCAAAAUAUAUAUAAUUUUCACGGAAAGUGCUUCGAGUUUGAAUUUCUCAUUUCUGAGGAAUCUCACUUUGUAAUUAAGAUUUACUGGCAUGGAAGAUAAAAAAUCCUUCACAUGGGGAAAUAUCUUUAUGGUUUAACUCCGAUUAUGAAAUCCAAAGAUGCAUUUCAAACGGAAGACCAGGGACGCCUCCUUUUAAAACAACUACGCUCCGAGGUAAUGGAGUCUUCCAAUGUCAAACUUGCAAAGUUCAGUAUUUAUAGAAAAAUUCACAUGCCUUUAAUUACAAUAAAUUUGGUUCCCAA